Molecule: long non-coding RNA, 281 nt
Organism: Conger conger (European conger)
Lineage: Eukaryota; Metazoa; Chordata; Actinopteri; Anguilliformes; Congridae
Exons: 3
Source: RefSeq, a predicted model, not a curated record
AGAUCGUCCUGCAUUGAUGUGUUUCAUGGUGUUCUUCAUCAUCCUGAUGAAAUCAGUAAAUCUUCAGCACAGGAGUGAUUUACCUGAUGUAGCUCAUAUCCUAGUGUAUGUGUUUGGUUCUGCUGUCCUAAGUGUCCUUAAUGCAGUUGCUCUUGCGACAGAAGUCUUUCUGAAAGCAGAAAAGGGGCAGCGAACUGUGGAAGAUCUUCAAGUGAUCGUCUUGCCUCUUGAAUCUUUCUUUUUGGUCUGUUGGAUAAGUUUACAUGAGUAUACAGACUGUA